GCGAGCUUUUGCUGUCGGAGUCAGCUUCGUGGGAGGUCGGAACUUUAGAUCCGUUCUUGAGGCUCCUUUGGUGGGUUUGGCGGUACCAGGGUAGUAAGGUGGAGUGCGCUUGGGAUUCGUGUCGACCCUCCUUCUCAUCUGUUCAGAUCGCCGGAAAAAGUUUCAAUUUUUUGUUGAUCUAGGGUUUUUGGGCCUGAGCGUGACGGCGUAUGGUUCUCUGCUUCUGGGCCUUGGUCGAUCCUCUUGCUGAUUAUCGGCGGGUGCAUGUAAGGGGCUACUCUCUCUCUCUCGAUGUAGUCGCCCGAGGCUUAUUGGCUCAUGUGGCAGCGCGUUGUUGAGCCACGAGGCUGUAUCCGCGUCUCAUAGUGGUCUCUGUCACCUCUGCUUGGUUCUGAGUUGUGGCAG
RNAcentral lists this long non-coding RNA (405 nucleotides) under Brassica napus (rape). Its description in RNAcentral is "long non-coding RNA (BNAP_LNC022762)". The record is from RNAcentral. Lineage: Eukaryota; Viridiplantae; Streptophyta; Magnoliopsida; Brassicales; Brassicaceae.